UACGGAGGGUGCAAGCGUUAAUCGGAUUUACUGGGCGUAAAGGGUGCGUAGGCGGAAAGGAAAGUCAAAUGUGAAAUUCCGGUACUCAAUACCGGAGCGGCAUUUGAAACUCCCUUUCUAGAGGGUAGAUGGAGAGAAUGGAAUUCCGUGUGUAGCGGUGAAAUGCGUAGAUAUACGGAAGAACACCUGUGGCGAAAGCGAUUCUCUAAUUUAUUUCUGACGCUGAGGCACGAGAGCGUGGGUAGCAAAC
Molecule: ribosomal RNA, 250 nt
Filed under: uncultured bacterium
Lineage: Bacteria
Description: partial 16S ribosomal RNA
Rfam family: Bacterial small subunit ribosomal RNA
Source: RNAcentral